Molecule: ribosomal RNA, 219 nt
Filed under: uncultured bacterium
Lineage: Bacteria
Description: partial 16S ribosomal RNA
Rfam family: Bacterial small subunit ribosomal RNA
Source: RNAcentral
UGGAUCAUCUACCUCUUAGUGGGGAAUAGCCCUGGGAAACCGGGGAUAAUACCGCAUAAGUCCUUUGGGAGAAAGCAGCAAUGCGCUGAGAGAGGAGUCCGCGGCCGAUUAGCUAGUUGGCAGGGUAAAAGCCUACCAAGGCAUCGAUCGGUAGCCGGCCUGAGAGGGUGACCGGCCACACUGGGACUGAGACACGGCCCAGACUCCUACGGGAGGCAG